AUUGAACGCUGGCGGCAUGCCUUACACAUGCAAGUCGAACGGCAGCACGGGUGCUUGCACCUGGUGGCGAGUGGCGAACGGGUGAGUAAUACAUCGGAACGUACCUUAUCGUGGGGGAUAACGCAGCGAAGGCUGUGCUAAUACCGCAUACGCCCUGAGGGGGAAAGCGGGGGAUCGAAAGACCUCGCGCGAUUAGAGUGGCCGAUGCCUGAUUAGCUUGUUGGUGGGGUAAAAGCCCACCAAGGCGACGAUCAGUAGCUGGUCUGAGAGGACGAUCAGCCACACUGGGACUGAGACACGGCCCAGACUCCUACGGGAGGCAGCAGUGGGGAAUUUUGGACAAUGGGGGCAACCCUGAUCCAGCAAUGCCGCGUGAGUGAAGAAGGCCUUCGGGUUGUAAAGCUCUUUUGUCAGGGAAGAAACACCGGCUCUAACACAGUCCGGGGAUGACGGUACCUGAAGAAUAAGCACCGGCUAACUACGUGCCAGCAGCCGCCGUAA
Molecule: ribosomal RNA, 501 nt
Filed under: uncultured bacterium
Lineage: Bacteria
Description: partial 16S ribosomal RNA
Rfam family: Bacterial small subunit ribosomal RNA
Source: RNAcentral